UAUUGGACAAUGGGCGCAAGCCUGAUCCAGCAAUACCGCGUGUGUGAAGAAGGCCUUAGGGUUGUAAAGCACUUUCAAUUGGGAGGAAAACCUGCCGGUCAAUACCCGGUAGCUUGACAUUACCCUUAGAAGAAGCACCGGCUAACUCCGUGCCAGCAGCCGCGGUAAUACGGAGGGUGCGAGCGUUAAUCGGAAUUACUGGGCGUAAAGCGUGCGUAGGCGGUUCGUUAAGUCAGAUGUGAAAGCCCUGGGCUCAACCUGGGAACUGCAUUUGAAACUGGCGGACUAGAGUUUAGUAGAGGGGAGUGGAAUUUCAGGUGUAGCGGUGAAAUGCGUAGAUAUCUGAAGGAACACCAGUGGCGAAGGCGACUCCCUGGACUAGAACUGACGCUGAGUACGAAA
This 402-nucleotide ribosomal RNA is filed under the name uncultured bacterium. RNAcentral's name for it is "bacterial SSU rRNA". It matches the Rfam family "Bacterial small subunit ribosomal RNA", at positions 362 to 758 of the family's 1533-position model. The record is from RNAcentral.